RNAcentral lists this unclassified non-coding RNA (342 nucleotides) under uncultured fungus. RNAcentral's name for it is "sequence contains ITS1". The stretch from base 1 to 103 matches the Rfam family "5.8S ribosomal RNA", at positions 50 to 154 of the family's 154-position model. The record is from RNAcentral. Lineage: Eukaryota; Fungi.
GAAGUGCGAUAAGCAAUGCGAAUUGCAGAACCGUGAGUCAUCAGAUUUUUGAACGCAACUGGCGCCGGCUGGUCCUCCAGUCGGCAUGCUUGUUUCAGUGUCUUUUUUUCUCCUCACCCAAACCUUAAUGCGAGAGAUACCCUUCUCUUGCCAAACAGGAAAGCACUCUGCGCUCUGCAGGCAGCUUUUAGACUCGUUCUUUAAGCUGCGCUCAAUGCUGUCGUCACAUUUUUACAAGUGUGAACUCAUUGUGAGUAGAGGCAUGUAGCUUCGGCUACCAGUGCUUAGUCACUUAAACUUUCUUUGCAUCUGAAAUCAAGCAGGAGUACCCGCUGAACUUAA